Molecule: ribosomal RNA, 253 nt
Filed under: uncultured bacterium
Lineage: Bacteria
Description: partial 16S ribosomal RNA
Rfam family: Bacterial small subunit ribosomal RNA
Source: RNAcentral
UACAGGGGGGGCAAGCGUUGUUCGGAAUUACUGGGCGUAAAGGGCGCGUAGGCGGCCGAUCAAGUCAGAUGUGAAAGUCCUGGGCUUAACCUGGGGACUGCAUUUGAUACUGAUUGGCUUGAAUGCAGGAGAGGAUAGCGGAAUUCCCAGUGUAGAGGUGAAAUUCGUAGAUAUUGGGAAGAACACCGGUGGCGAAGGCGGCUAUCUGGACUGUGAUUGACGCUGAGGCGCGAAAGCGUGGGGAGCAAACAGG